CUAACAGCUACAACAUUGCCGAACUAGUUAAUUGUGUGUGGCUGGUGUUGUCGCGGAAUAUAAAGACAAGACUCAUUUGCUGUGUCGUUUUUUUCAUACGGGUCUGUAACAUGGAUAUAUGGCCUUGUGGGAACUCUAACCCUAUCAAGGGUAUGAUGCAAUAGUCCAGACGGGAGAGGACAAGUGCCUGGAUUAAGACCUGCGCCACUUCUUGUGUGAGGUAGGGUCGUACUCUACAGAUGUUGUAGAGCAUGAACCUGCAGGAGGGAGUCACUGCUUUGAUGCUGGCAGAGAACGACA
Molecule: long non-coding RNA, 300 nt
Organism: Oncorhynchus tshawytscha (Chinook salmon)
Lineage: Eukaryota; Metazoa; Chordata; Actinopteri; Salmoniformes; Salmonidae
Source: Ensembl